Molecule: ribosomal RNA, 183 nt
Filed under: uncultured bacterium
Lineage: Bacteria
Description: partial 16S ribosomal RNA
Rfam family: Bacterial small subunit ribosomal RNA
Source: RNAcentral
CGUGAAGUUGGAAUUGCUAGUAAUCGCGGAUCAGAAAUGCCGCGGUGAAUACGUUCCCGGGCCUUGUACACACCGCCCGUCGCACCAUGGAAGUCGGUAAUGCCCGAAGUCAGUAGCCUAACCGCAAGGAGGGCGCUGCCGAAGGCAGGAUUGAUGACUGGGGUGAAGUCGUAACAAGGUACC